Molecule: transfer RNA, 71 nt
Filed under: Stegodyphus mimosarum
Lineage: Eukaryota; Metazoa; Arthropoda; Arachnida; Araneae; Eresidae
Rfam family: tRNA
About the family: Transfer RNA (tRNA) molecules are approximately 80 nucleotides in length. Their secondary structure includes four short double-helical elements and three loops (D, anti-codon, and T loops).
Source: Rfam by way of RNAcentral
GCCUUCGUGGUGUAACGGUAGCACAUUCGGUUCGUAUUCGAGAGGUCUAGGUUCGAGUUCCGACGAGGACA